Molecule: microRNA precursor, 73 nt
Filed under: Strigamia maritima
Lineage: Eukaryota; Metazoa; Arthropoda; Chilopoda; Geophilomorpha; Linotaeniidae
Description: microRNA mir-33
Source: RNAcentral
UAUUGCUGCACUGUUGCAACAUUGCCAUAAUGUUGCUGUACUAUUAUGGCAAUGUUGCAACAGUGCAGCAAUA